Molecule: long non-coding RNA, 1807 nt
Organism: Camelus dromedarius (Arabian camel)
Lineage: Eukaryota; Metazoa; Chordata; Mammalia; Artiodactyla; Camelidae
Exons: 9
Source: RefSeq, a predicted model, not a curated record
GCUUUGGAAAGAGACGCCAGCUGGUGCAGACUUGCUUUUGGAGGGCUGCUCAACAGCCAGAGGGCCAGCCUGGGCGUCGGAGGUAGAGUUUGAGGUCCUUAGCUGCCUCAGGAUGGAAGUUGGGGGUUGGAUGUGGGCACAGUGGAUCAGAACUUUUCUGCAAAGUCCCGACUCCGGCCCGUCAGAAGAUUCCUGAAGCCAGUCGAACGGAGAGGACUUUGAAGAUUCCGAGGACCUGGAAGAAGGUGGAGCCAUGAGAUGGAAGGAGCCUGGGGCCCUGAGCUGGAGCAGAGCCUUUCCCAACGCCGAUGCACAAUGGAGGGGAAAGAUUCCUGACAGACACAAAGGCAUUUUUGCCCUAAGCACCUUCCAAGGGGGAUCCUUCUGAGGGGCCAUGGUCGCCGUAUCCUCCUUUGUCACCCGCUGUCUGAGCGCCCAUCACAUGGCACCAUCACCGGGGAGAAGCAGUGAGACGGACCUUGCGCUCCUGGAGCUUCCAGGUGCUGCCCUGACCAGCUUGCUCCUUGUCUGUCUGAUCGCCCCUCGCCGAUAGCUUUGCCUGGCCAAUCCCUACUGCUCUGUACAACCGAUGCCAACUCUUCUGUGAAGCAACCCUCAGCCCCGAUCCAGAUGGCAGAGACCCUGCUCCGGGGUCACCAGAUCUCCUUGCAGCCCCCAUACAGAAGAGACGUAAACUGAAGAGAAAAUAAAACUAGACAGCACACGGGGAAGCCGACACUUACAAAAAGGAAGACACUGCAGUUUGCAAACUUUGCAGAUACCAGCAGAGGGAGAAAAACACGCGAGACUGCUGAUAACCUCAUGUGGAGAAUUAAACUCCAACUAGACAAAGGCGGAAUCGGAAUACGGAGUGGCCUGGCUCUGCAUGGAGGUCACCCGGGCUGGAUUUCAGUCCAAUGCCACGGCAAAAGUUCCGUUGACGGUUAUUUAGCUCCUCAGAGACUCUGUUUCCUCAACUGAACAACGGAGCUAAGAAUGCCUACCCCCACAGGGCUGCUGAAGGCGCCACUCAAUGGAGUUCAGGCCGUUCUCCAUGGGCAGAGAGAUGUUGCAGCGCCCGAUGGUGGGGGUGAUGGUGCCCGCCAGGACGUGGGGCUCGCUGUGGAAGCUGACACCCAUCCCAUUGGCAUACAUCACCCUCAGGGUACCGUUAUUACAGAGCUGGUAGCUGUUCCUCACUUGAUCUGGAGACAUGGAAGGUCAGCUCCACUGCAAAUCCAGUCUUGGUUGGGUUCUUCAAGAAAAGAAACAGAAAAAGCAACCUUCCUGCCUGUCAUGUGUCUGUCUCUACCAGGAUGCCACCUCCACUCGAGAGAAAUCAUCUGAAGACUCAAACAGCACGAGGUAGACGGAGCCAUUGGGUGCUGAUAACACGUGCUUAUCUUCUUCCCAAAUGGACUCUACAGCAGUCGGUCAGAAUUCUGACCUUUUUUUCCCCUUUCUCAAAGUUCCAGGAAGGGUGAGGCAGAGACGCCUGUUACAGGUAGGCUGCUUCCUGAUCAGGCAAAGGAGCCCAGCUGGUCUGGCCUCGGAUUUGCUGGCUUUUGGGGUUGUGAGCCCGUGUGUACCUGUCACUCCUGUGACUGCAGCCGUCGUGCAGAAAGACAAACAUCUACAUCAUUAACCAUCUGGCAGAGCAGAAAUAGAGUCAUUGAAACAGGCUCUGUCGUGGGAUAACAGUCCAGAAAUGUCACCAUUUAUCUACUGAGAGGACACUUUUAGCCUCUGACGAGGGGCUGGCCCACUGACAUUCUAUCUUAAUUAAAAGGAAACCUAAUCUGCACAA